Molecule: ribosomal RNA, 494 nt
Filed under: uncultured bacterium
Lineage: Bacteria
Description: bacterial SSU rRNA
Rfam family: Bacterial small subunit ribosomal RNA
Source: RNAcentral
GAUGAACGCUAGCGGCAGGCUUAACACAUGCAAGUCGAGGGGUAUAUAGUUUUCGGAUUAUAGAGACCGGCAAACGGGUGCGGAACACGUACGCAAUCUGCCUCUGUCUUGGGGAUAGCCCAUAGAAAUGUGGAUUAAUACCCAAUAGUAUUAUAGAGUGGCAUCACUUAGUAAUUAAAGAUUUAUUGGACAGAGAUGAGCGUGCGUCCCAUUAGCUAGUCGGUGCGGUAACGGCGUACCAAGGCGACGAUGGGUAGCUGGUGUGAGAGCACGACCAGCCACACGGGCACUGAGACACGGGCCCGACUCCUACGGGAGGCAGCAGUGAGGAUAUUGGUCAAUGGGCGGAAGCCUGAACCAGCCAUGCCGCGUGAAGGAUGAAGGCGUUCUGCGUUGUAAACUUCUUUAUUUGGGAAGAAAUUGUGGUUUCUACUGCAACCGACGGUACCAGAUGAAUAAGCACCGGCUAACUCCGUGCCAGCAGCCGCGGUAAU